CGGCAGGCCUAACACAUGCAAGUCGAGCGGUAACAUUUCUAGCUUGCUAGAAGAUGACGAGCGGCGGACGGGUGAGUAACGCGUAGAAAUCUACCUAGUAGUGGGGGAUAGCCCAGAGAAAUUUGGAUUAAUACCGCAUACGCCCUGCGGGGGAAAGCGGGGGAGUCUUCGGACCUCGUGCUAUUAGAUGAGUCUGCGUCGGAUUAGCUUGUUGGUGAGGUAAUGGCUCACCAGGGCGACGAUCCGUAGCUGGUCUGAGAGGAUGACCAGCCACACUGGAACUGAGACACGGUCCAGACUCCUACGGGAGGCAGCAGUGGGGAAUAUUGCACAAUGGGCGCAAGCCUGAUGCAGCCAUGCCGCGUGUGUGAAGAAGGCCUUAGGGUUGUAAAGCACUUUCAGCAGUGAGGAAAGGGGUGUCGUUAAUAGCGCCAUCCUGUGACGUUAACUGCAGAAGAAGGACCGGCUAACUCCGUG
RNAcentral lists this ribosomal RNA (477 nucleotides) under uncultured bacterium. Its description in RNAcentral is "bacterial SSU rRNA". It matches the Rfam family "Bacterial small subunit ribosomal RNA", at positions 40 to 507 of the family's 1533-position model. The record is from RNAcentral.